AUAUUAUCUGCAAAUUCAAUUAGAAGAUUUUAUUAUUAAAACAAAAUCAAUAUUAGAUUAAACUUUGUACAAAAGGACAUAUAUAUAAUGAUGAAUACAUUAUGCUGACUUUAUUGGCUUUCCCCAUGUUAGUAUCAGUUCAUAUUCCCUAUUUUUCAUCCAAAAACCAUUAAUUAGGAGUUGGGGACGGGGAUGGGGGAAAAUACUGUACGUCUUCCACCAUAUGAAAAAGUGAAAACAAUAUAUUCUUACUUCAAGAUUAUAUAUGCAAGGAAAAAAUAAUUACAAAUCUAAAUAUAGUUGAAGAAAUUCAACUAGAAUCAUAACAUAUAAGUAUGGGCUUCAAUUGCAGAUCCAAAGGUGUUUUGUUUGAGAAGAGAGUUCAAACCCAAGGAGAAUAAAUAGUCCAAAUACUACAACUAUUUGGUGCCCAGGUUGAAGUCCAGGGUAGAAAUAUUGGAGUAAAAAAUUUCAUCGUUGAAGAGGUACAAAUGGCGCUCAAAAGUGCCGAAACAAGGCCAAUUUCAGCCCUCAAGUGGAGCUGAAACUAGCAUCUCCUUACUUGCGCGAACUCGUGAUCUAGUAAUUGCUUGCUUAAAAUUCAUGACUUAGUAAUUGCUUUGUCAAACUCGUGAUUUAUAUAUUGUUCGAUAAUUUGUCAUUACUUUUAUGUAUCACUGUGUUUAAUGGUUUUUACCUAUUGUAAUAAUUGUUUACUCGAACUCUUGACUUAUAGGUCACAUGACAACUUUAUCAUCG
This 759-nucleotide long non-coding RNA is filed under the name Capsicum annuum. RNAcentral's name for it is "long non-coding RNA (CANN_LNC010435)". Lineage: Eukaryota; Viridiplantae; Streptophyta; Magnoliopsida; Solanales; Solanaceae. The record is from RNAcentral.